This 366-nucleotide ribosomal RNA is filed under the name uncultured microorganism. RNAcentral describes it as "bacterial SSU rRNA". It matches the Rfam family "Archaeal small subunit ribosomal RNA", at positions 330 to 713 of the family's 1478-position model. The record is from RNAcentral.
GUGCAGCAGGCGAGAAUGCGUGACAAGGUGACUCCGAGUGCUCAUGCGUAAGCAUGAGCUUUUCCCGAGUGUAAACAGCUCGGGGAAUAAGGGCCGGGCAAUACCCGUGCCAGCCGCCGCGGUAAUACGGGAGGCCCGAGUGGUGCCCGCGAUUACUGGGCUUAAAGCGUCCGUAGCCGGUCCGGUAAGUCCUUGGUGAAAGCCCCAGGCUUAACCUGGGGAGGUGCCAAGGAUACUGCCGGUCUAGGGGAGCGGGAGAGGCGAGGGGUACUCCGGGGGUAGCGGUGAAAUGCGUUGAUCCUCGGGGGACCACCGGUAGCGAAGGCGCCUCGCUGGAACGCGUCCGACGGUGAGGGACGAAGGCCA